GACGAACGCUGGCGGCAUGCCUAACACAUGCAAGUCGAACGAGACCUUCGGGCCUAGUGGCGCACGGGUGCGUAACGCGUGGGAACCUGCCCUUAGGUUCGGAAUAACUCCCCGAAAGGGGUGCUAAUACCGGAUAAUGUCUUCGGACCAAAGAUUUAUCGCCUUUGGAUGGGCCCGCGUUGGAUUAGCUAGUUGGUAGGGUAAAAGCCUACCAAGGCGUCGAUCCAUAGCUGGUCUGAGAGGAUGAUCAGCCACACUGGGACUGAGACACGGCCCAGACUCCUACGGGAGGCAGCAGUGGGGAAUAUUGGACAAUGGGCGAAAGCCUGAUCCAGCAAUGCCGCGUGAGUGAUGAAGGCCUUAGGGUUGUAAAGCUCUUUUACCCGGGAUGAUAAUGACAGUACCGGGAGAAUAAGCUCCGGCUAACUCCGUG
This 433-nucleotide ribosomal RNA is filed under the name uncultured bacterium. RNAcentral describes it as "partial 16S ribosomal RNA". It matches the Rfam family "Bacterial small subunit ribosomal RNA", at positions 28 to 507 of the family's 1533-position model. The record is from RNAcentral.